Molecule: ribosomal RNA, 253 nt
Filed under: uncultured bacterium
Lineage: Bacteria
Description: partial 16S ribosomal RNA
Rfam family: Bacterial small subunit ribosomal RNA
Source: RNAcentral
UACGUAGGGUGCGAGCGUUAAUCGGAAUUACUGGGCGUAAAGCGUGCGCAGGCGGUUUUGUAAGCCAGAUGUGAAAUCCCCGGGCUCAACCUGGGAAUGGCAAUGGAUACUGGCAAGCUAGAGUGUGUCAGAGGAUGGUGGAAUUCCCGGUGUAGCGGUGAAAUGCGUAGAGAUCGGGAGGAACAUCAGUGGCGAAGGCGGCCAUCUGGGACAACACUGACGCUGAGGCACGAAAGCGUGGGGAGCAAACAGG